This 7804-nucleotide long non-coding RNA is filed under the name Homo sapiens (human). Its description in RNAcentral is "HSALNT0247421". Lineage: Eukaryota; Metazoa; Chordata; Mammalia; Primates; Hominidae. The record is from RNAcentral.
CCGCCGCCCGCCGCCCGUCCCUUCGGAAGCGCCGAUUCCUCGGGGAGGAGGAGGCGUGAGGGGAGGCGGCGGAGGCAGCCGGCACGGGGCGCUCGGGCCGCGGGGCAGGGGGCGCGGGGUGCCUCCUCGGCCUCGGCUCUCCCCGCCCCGGGGCGCCCCGAGACCGCCGCCUGCCUCCGCGGGCAGCUUUGUUCUUCUUUCCUCCAACUACCUGUCUGAGCCGCGGGCCCCAGAGGCCCCAAAGAGAGGCCCGGAGGGUCUCCCCAGCAGCAUCCGAGGGGCGCUCUCGGGGAGCUAGGGGCCAGAGUCCGCGGUCCCUCCGUGCCUGCCUCCCUCCCCUCGUGCCUCGGUCUUUUGUUGCCUCUACUCCUCGGCACGGCGCAGCCUGGGCUCUCUUCCCCCUCCCGCUUGGGAGUUUGCAGUGUGGACGCUCGGCAAGCACAGCCUAUACUCACCUCCAGACCUUUGCACUUGAUACUCCUCUGGUCUUCCCAUGACAGCUCCUUCACUUCUCAGCUCAGACGUCAGCUCCACAGAGAGGCCUCUCCUAACAAUCCCAUCUACAGGGACUGGGUAUCUAAUGUUUUACUGAAGCACUGUUUGCAGAAAGCCUAGCGGGCUCAGAAAACCAGCCAUGCCAUGGUGGGAAGAAAGCCUUGCUGAGAUCCUGUGGCUGAAAACCAUCAUGGGCUUUUGCUUUCAGACUGCCCAUUGCCAACCGAUGCAGGCCCAGAGAAGCAAGGAGGAGUGCUGUUCUGGGAAGGCGGUGGGCACAUAGAUGGAGCUAGACUUGCGACUUCAGGCCCUCAGCAGCCACAUGAUCUUGCAGCUGUGGGCCAUGCACCUGCUUCUUGGGCCCAUGAUUAACCAGAUGUUCAGCUCCUUAAAGACAGACUUCGGGGCCCUUGGCUGGCAGGGGAUGCAAUCUGCAGAUGAGAAGCUCUGAGAAGCAGUUCUCAAAGCCAGGAUCCAGAGGCUCAGCCAUGUGAGUUUCCUGUGAGAGGGAAAAGGCAGGAGCAUAGAGGCCACUGAAGUUGUUCUCAAAAGCCCCAAGAUACCUUUGGUCUCAGUGGAGGCAUCCAGGACACAGCUGUCUUCACUUCUUCACUCAGUCAUUUAGAAAUUGUUCAGUGAGCACCCACCCUGUAUAAUUCACUGCUGCUGCAGCUGAGCUCAACAUGGUGUCAUCUAGGGGAGGAGCUUGAAGAGGUUGUGUUAAGGAAGAACCACGAGAGGAGUGCCCAGUUGGAUGUGACCCCGGAUGUGUAGGCAUCCAGGAGGCUGAAAGAAGGCUGACCCAGGGCCUGAUCACUUGACAAUGGACAUGCUACCUCACAGAGCAUAACACCACAACUAACACAUCCUGAGCCCUCAAUCAAUGUUGUGCAAUAAAGGAAUAAACCUGGAUGUCUUUCCUGUAACCAAACAUUGGACUAUUCAUCAACUGUGCACUUUUUGUUCCCCAACGAGCACAAGGGUUUGGACUGCACCAUCCCCACUCUUUCUUGACUCUCUCUGUACACCAUAAAUGCAUGGUUCAGGGUGAUUUUGCUGGGCAAGGGUGAUGGUUUGACUAUUUGUGUCCCUCCAAAAUUCAUGUUGACACUUAAUGCCCAUUGUGGUGGUAUUAAGAGGUAGAGACUUUCGGGAAGUGAGUAAGUCACGAGGCCUCUUUAUAAAAGAAGCUUCAGGCCAGGUGCAGUGGCUUAUGCAUGUAAUCCCAGUACUUUGACAGGCUGAGAUGAGAGGAUCAUUGAGCCUAGGAUUUCAAAACUAGCCUGGGCAACAUAAUGAGACCCUAUCUCUAUUAAAAGUAAAACAUUAGCUGGGCAUGGUGCGGUGCACCUGUAGUCUCAGCUACUUUGGAAGCUGAGGCAGGAGGAUCACUUGAGCCCAGGAGGUUGAGGCUGCAGUGAGCUAUGAUUGCACCACCGCACUUCGGCCUAGGCAACAGCGUGAGACCUUGUCACACACACACACACACACACACACACACACAAUAGUUUCAGACAAUAGCCUGGCCUGGCCUUCCCAUCUCUUCUGCUGUGAAAACACAACAUGCAUCCCUUUUUGCCUCUUCAGCACAUGAGGAUAUAGCAAAAAGGCCCAGGCCCUCAACAGGCACUGAAUCUGCUGGUACCUUGAUCUUGGACUUCAGAGCCUCCAGAACCAUAAGAAAUAAAUUUCUAUUCUUUAUAAAUUACUGAAUCUGUGGCAUUUUGUUACAGCAGCACAAACAGACUAGGACAGGGAGGUUGGGAGUGCACCGUGUGAUGUGUCUUUGCAAAGUCUACCCUGUACCAAGCUGACUGGCCCUAUGGGAUUUGUUAGCAACUAGCUGGGCCAGAUCAUUAGAAAACAAUUUGAAAUGCAGAAUGAGGAAUGGUGGCAAAUUUGGCUAUUUUUCUCAGGGUUUUGUUCAGCACCAUUUGCUGCCAUGCUACCAGCAUAGUGGUUUGUGUGGCCUGUACAUCCAGAAUACCUGGGUUCAAAUCCUGCUCCCUGCCUGUGUGAUCUUGAGCAGGUGAUAUGAGCUGCCUGUGCCAAGUUCCGCAUCUGUAAAGUGAGGGUGGUAAAAGGACCUACCUCGUAGAGUUGCUAUGAGAAUGAAGUAAGUUGGCGGGUGAAAAGGUGGUGAAUAUUCGUAUUAUUGAUGUUAUUAUCACUGUAAGCAGCAGUGGCAGCAGCUGCCAAGCCUCACAUUCCAACCUGAGAAUUUCCAAGAGAAGGCAGAUGAUCUUGUAAAACUCCAGGAAGUCACAUCUCUGAUUUCCAGCCCUCCUGUCUACAGAGCCAAACCUUUCCGCAGAACUCUCCCUGCUACCAUAAAAUGCUGCCUCCACAGAGGGAACCCUCCCCAGGCACAAGGCAGAUGGUUGCUCCGUUCCAUGUGGCCCCUCACUGCAGUGCAGUGAUGAUGUUUGGGCUGAGCAAAAGACUUCAGUGCUCAGAGGAGAAGGAGCAGGAGGCUUUGCCAGCUUCCAUUUGCAUGAGAAAAGAACUGAGAGGAGAGGGGAGAAGGGGGAAGAUGCUUGCUUCCUCCUUCCAUCUUGGCAUUCACAGAGCAGGCUGCAUUUGAACACUGCCGUGCUAUGUACAUUGGAUCCAUGCAAUGUUACAUAAGUAUUUCAUAAGGGACAAGGUGACUUUGUGUUUUUUUCACCUGUUCUUCUCCUCUGAUCCCAGAAGCUGGGAAGUAGGCUGGAUGCAGAGAAAAGAGCAUUGUUCUCAAGUCUGCUUCACUGCUUAAAGACUAAGAAGGAAAAAAAAUAGAAAGGAAAACAAGAAUCAUUGUCUCUUUUGUUUUCUCUUUAAAAUAUAAAAGGAACUCUGAAACCAAAGUUCGGAUGACAUCGUAUGACAUUUUCCUUUCCACAUGGAAAAAUUUUGAAUAAAAGAUCUGUUUUCUGGGUUGACACUUCUGGGCUCUUUCAAUCUCCAGUAGCAGCAAACUGCUGUCAUUUCUGGAAAUAAGGAUGGCAAGACUCAGGGGGUUAAUCUGCCUGAUUUUGCUCUCCAAGGGUGACAGCGUAAAGCUCUUUGGCUCUGCAUCCACAGUAAUAGCUGAGGGCAGCGCUGCCCAACAGAACUUUCUGUGGUGAUGGAAGCCUUCUCUAAUCUGUGCUGCACAUCUGGCAGCCACGAGCCACACGUGGCUAUUGAGCGCUGGAAGUGGGGCUGCUGUGACUGUGGAACUGAGUUAACUUCACUGUUAAUUUAAAUUUAAAUGGCCACGUGUGGUCUGUGGCUACAGUAUUGGCAGGUGCAUGAGAGCAAUAGCAAAACAAACUGUAAGUAGCAUCCACAGAUGUUGACUGAAUGCAUCACACAGAUAAGAUGGAAAAGGAAGAGCCUAAAAGUUCUGAAGAGUGAUGUUCCCCUUCCACAGGAGCAGUUUAUGUGUCAGUGGCAAUGAUGUUUUAUGAAUAUUUGGGAUGACCAUUUUCUGUUUCAUCUUUCAGCUGUGGGAGUAGCAGUCUACUUUAUUUCUUUUCAAUUUUUUUUUAGAGAUGGAGUCUUGCUAUGUUGCCCAGGGUGAUCUUGAACUCCUGGCCUCACAUGAUCCUCCUGCCUCAACCUCCCAAAGUGUUGGGAUUACAGGCAUGAACCACCAUGCCUAGCUCAGUCUACUUUUUUUAAAAGAGGAAUGAGAUCAAGAUCACAUUUCAAAAAAUAUGUUGUCUCCUAAAGUAAGUAAUAUUUCUACCUGGAAGCUCUUCCUUCAAGUCUAAAGUCAAAGGGAAAGACAAUAAUUUCUUCUAGGCUUUUGAGGUGAUGAUCAUGGGGUUUGCUUAGAUGUCAGAUCCACGAGUCACCCUAAAGCCUGAAGAGACAGAGUAGAUGGGAGCUGGUGUUGGGUGAACACUGGACUGGUCCCAGGGCUGCGGUUCUUGAUCAGUGUAAUGCAGGAAGGAGUCGCCAAUGUGGCCACGCUCCUGGUAGGGGUUCUUUGUAGGUACUAGAGGCUCAGUAGCUGUCCUGAGUCAAAAGACCAAAGAAAAAGGGAAGCCUCAAGGAGAGAUGAGAGGACAGCAGAUGAAAAUGAGCCUGCAGGAAACCAAGCUCUGAGGAGAAAUGGGCAGGCAGCCAAGAGCAGGGCAGAAACUGCAGCAGUAGCAGCGGCAGCAAUGAAGUCUCCAAGUUAUGAGUGGCAGGCUCUGAGAACAAUGAUGGAGCAGGAAGUUAAUGCAGAGGGCAGGCAGAGAGCCCCUGAGACGAUAAGCAAGAUGAGUGGAGAAAACCGACAGGACUUAGACCUGGGCAUGGGCAGCAGAGGACCUUAUCCCAGCAGCAGAGGGACUGGCAGUUAAUGACGAUGCUCGAACAUCUGCUAUACGUUGGGAAUUUUGCACGCAUUUAAUAUUUUGCAUGCAGAUAAUAUUAUUCCCAUUUUAUGAAUGAAUGAGCCCAGACUUAAAGUGCUGGAGGGAUUUAAUAUUCUCCUGGAUCUAUCUGCCUUGCUGGCUACUCCUUCAGGCUUCCUUUUGAGUUCAUUCUUCUCUUACCACGUCUGUAAAUGUUAGAAUUUUUUAAGGAAUGUUACACAGUUGAGUCGUCUUCUCUUCUCACCCCCUACUUACUCAGCACAGUAUAAACCACUCUCUGGGAACUCCAGAAUUUUGUCUCUAUCUGGAAUCUCCCCUAGGAAUGGCAAAAUUAACCUAAAGAAUGUACAAGGAAGGAAAAAAUAGACAUAAACCUAGGUAUUUUUAUUUUGUUAAUUAGAAAAGUAGAAAGAACAGAUAAUGAUUCCAAGAGUUGCUUUUCAUUUAACCAAUAAAAUAACAAACCCUUAACUGACCCAAUAAAGAAAAUGGGAGCAGUCACAAAAUUAGGAAUGAGAAAAUAUUUCAAGAGACCACUCUGCUCAAUGCUAUGUUGAAACUUUUGAAAACCUAAAUACCAAUUAAAUUUUUCCAGUAAAAUAUUUAUGACCAAGGUUUACUCUACAAGAGAGUCUACUACUAGAGUUGCCAGAAUUAGUAUACAGAAAUUUGAAUUUUAGAUAAAUAAUUUUUUAGUAUGUCUUACGCAACAGUUAGGACAUACUUUUACUAAAAAAAAAAAAAAGUCAUUGGUUGUUAUUCUGAAAUUCAAAUUUAAUUGGAAAUCCUGCAUUUUAACUGGCCGAUCUAUUAAAACAGAUAAAUUAUUGUGGAGAAACAAUAGGAACUUGUCAAAAGCUUUAAAAACAUCAAGAUCAGAAGUUUCAGGUAAAGCGUAUGAAUUAAAUUCAAGCAAUAUUUUCAACUCUAUUUAAAUGAUUCCAAAGCAUAAAAAAACAGCUUCUAAGACAUUUUUAUAAAGCUACAAAGACUGAAGUCAAACCUGACAAGGAGAGUUAAAAAAUGUGGGCAAAACAGUGGUGAAUAUUCAUGAUAAAAUCUUACUGUGAUAUUCACAAACAUGGGGGAAUGAUAUUUUCUUUAAAAUCGACAGACUUUUUAGAGAAAAAAGGCAGUUGAAGAAAUUAUCAACAGUGAUUUUACCAAGUUCUUUGUAUUUUUUCUCAGUCUUAACAUGCCUAUAUAUAUUAUGUACAUAAUUCUUAGCUGUAAGUCAUUUUUAUAAUAGAUGCUAUUUUCUGCAAGCCUCUCAAAUUAAAACCCAUUGUUCUGAAAGUACUAAUCAAUGCAAUUACAUAAGGGAAAAAAUGAGACAUAAAUACUUCAACCACGGAGGCAAAAUUAUUACUGUUUUCAAACAAUGUAGUUAUUUACCUAGAAACUGCAAAAGAAUCAAUUGGAGGAAUUCUGUUACCAGCAGAAGAUAGUUCAGUUAGGUGGAUUGGUUUCACAAUGAAUAUCCACAUUCAGUGGCAUUUCAGUAAACAAAUAGUAUUCAGCUAUAAAAUAUAAUGGAGCAAAUUAUCUCAUUUAUAAUAGCAUAAAAAAGAUAAUGUGCCUAGACAUAAAUUUAAUUAAAAAUAUAGGCUAGGUAUGUUGGCUCAUGCCCAUAAUCUCAAGACUUUGGAGGGCUGGAGGAUCCCUUGAACCCAAGAGUUUGAGACCGUGAGACCCCAACUCUACAAAAAAAUAAAAUUAGCUCGGCAUGGUGUGCAUGCCUGUCAUCUCAGCUAUUGUGGAGUCUGAGGCAGGAGGAUUGUUUGAGCCCAGGAGUUUGAGGCUGUAGAGAUCUGAUUGUGCCACUGCACUCCAGCCUGGGUGACAGAGUGAGACCCUAUCUCUAAAAAUAAAUGGGGGGCUAUUAAAUAAAACAACAACGUGUAACACUUCUUGAAGGACAAAAAAAAAAUAAAAAUAAAUAAGUAGAAAGACCUGUCAAAGACCUAUCAUAUUCUUGGGUAGGAAGAUUCAAUACUGUAAAUGCAUAAGUUUACCCUAAAUUAAAUCCAUAGAUCCAAUUUAAUCCUCAUCAAAAUGCCAACAGGCACUUUUAUAUCUUGAUAAAGUAUUAAAGUUACUUGGAAACAUAAGUUUGAGGAAACUCCAUAGACUCCCGUAUGCAAUAAUCCAUUAAUAACCCAGUAAUAUUGGGGAGGAUACACAAGAAGCUGUUUAUAAUAUUCACCUCUUAGCAGUGGAAGUGAGGGGUAAAGACUUGAGCCAAAGAUGUAUUUUCAUGUUAUACUCAUCUAUGCUAUUUGAAUUUUUCCACAGGUGCAAAUAUUACUUAUAUGAUUAAAAAUAGUUAUUUUAAAAGAACAUUUCCAUUAUAUUGAGUACUGAUUUGUAACCCUCUCUGCUCAUUAGAAUCAUAUAGGGAGCUUUGGAAAGACACCAGGUCUCAGCACUUGCCUCCAGAUUCUAAUUCAAUUUGGCUGUGUUAGGGCCCAGGCAAUGGCAUUUUUUACAAAAGUUCUCACUGAUUCUGAUGUGGAGCCAGGGCCGAGAGCCACCACUGUCAAGUAACCCAUGGCAGCAUUUUCCAACUUUUGGUCACAACCCUUCGGUUAGGAAAUCAACUUAAUGGCUUGGGACCAGAGUUAAAAACAAACAAACAACAACAACUGAAACCAACUCAAUUGAGCAGAAACUUGUGCAUGCCUGUUGUGUUUAAGACAUGUCUCUUUCUGGGGGAUGUCAUCCAAAACAUUGGAAAACCCCUACCUUAAGUGGUUCAGAUCUUUCAGACUUUCUGAGACAUUUUAUCAGAAUUUGUGUGAACUAUUAAAGGCUUUUUACUGUUUAAAAGUUAUAUUGUAAUUCUGACUUUUGUUCACGUAUUUGAUGAUUCAAUUAUUUAUUCAUUACAUAGUCAAAGGUAGAAAAUUACAUGUAAUUACUUGUGCUUAUCUGAUAAGCAUAGUGACUGAUGUAUGUAAAUGCUCAAUAUGUGAUGG